AUGGAUAUGGAUAUCAUGCCUGCCUCUCAAGGCAGCAGGAUGAAGCAAUCGAAGAAUCCAAGGAGGAGGUUUUUAUUUCUUUUCAAACAGAAGGUUGGAUCUCUAGUUCACGGAGAAGACAAAGUUAUUGGGCCAAAGAAGAUGUUUAGGCUAUGUAUUCUUGAUGAGUUUGGCAUGAGAACAAUGGCUAAACCUAUGGUUAUACUUAAAUCAACAUCACUACGCCGUGAAAUAAAACUUCGUACGGAGAAGCGGAAGAUAGUGUGGGCUUACCGUGUAUAUCAGGUUCGUACAUGGGAAGCUUUCAAGAGAAAUGUCGAAACCAUCGGAAGGUUGACUCGUACGUUAAACAAUGCAAUUAGAACGUACGGCAGCCGUCGUUUGCAAGCUGGAUUAUUUUACUUGGCCAUAAAUUGGAAUCCUCGUUUUACAUACACGGUUCGUAGUCAUAUCUACGGUGACAAUGAGUUUUUGAGAGAUUUGUGGAGAAAGAAGAGACUGGAGCGUAAGAUGAGGCAAACUAAGAUGGAGCUAUGCAACACUUCUGCAAGUACAUAG
This 558-nucleotide ribosomal RNA is filed under the name Triticum aestivum (bread wheat). RNAcentral describes it as "partial small subunit ribosomal RNA". Lineage: Eukaryota; Viridiplantae; Streptophyta; Magnoliopsida; Poales; Poaceae. The record is from RNAcentral.